CUACGGGUGGCUGCAGUAAGGAAUAUUGCGCAAUGGAGGCAACUCUGACGCAGCCAUGCCGCGUGCAGGACUGAAGGCCUUAUGGGUCGUAAACUGCUUUUAUUUAGGAAUAAACUCUUGUACGUGUACGAGACUGAAGGUACUAAAUGAAUAAGCACCGGCUAACUCCGUGCCAGCAGCCGCGGUAAUACGGAGGGUGCAAGCGUUAUCCGGAUUUAUUGGGUUUAAAGGGUGCGCAGGCGGACUAUUAAGUCAGAGGUGAAAUCCCGGAGCUCAACUUCGGAACUGCCUUUGAUACUGGUAGUCUUGAAUACGGUUGAAGUAGGCGGAAUGUAGCAUGUAGCGGUGAAAUGCAUAGAGAUGCUACAGAACACCGAUCGCGAAGGCAGCUUACUAAGCCGAUAUUGACGCUCAGGCACGGAAGCGUGGGGAGCGAACAGGAUUAGAUACCCCUGUAGUC
Molecule: ribosomal RNA, 460 nt
Filed under: uncultured bacterium
Lineage: Bacteria
Description: partial 16S ribosomal RNA
Rfam family: Bacterial small subunit ribosomal RNA
Source: RNAcentral